ACUUUCAGUAGGGAGGAAGGUAGUGUAGUUAACACCUGCAUAUUUGACGUUACCUACAGAAGAAGCACCCGGCUAACUACCGUGCCAGCAGCCGCGGUAAUACGGAGGGUGCGAGCGUUAAUCGGAAUUACUGGGCGUAAAGACGCAUGCAGGCGGCCCGUGUUAAGUCAGAUGUGAAAGACCCGGGGCGUUAACCUCGGAAUUGCAUUUGAAACUGGCAGGCUAGAGUCUUGUAGAGGGGGGUAGGAAGUUUCAGGUGUAGCGGUGAAAUAGCGUAGAGAUCUGAAGGAAUACCAGUGGCGAAGGCGGCCCCCUCGGACAAAGACUGACGCUCAGAUGCGAAAGCGUGGGGAGCAAACAGGAUUAGAUACCCUGGUAG
Molecule: ribosomal RNA, 379 nt
Filed under: uncultured bacterium
Lineage: Bacteria
Description: bacterial SSU rRNA
Rfam family: Bacterial small subunit ribosomal RNA
Source: RNAcentral